RNAcentral lists this long non-coding RNA (3515 nucleotides) under Olea europaea subsp. europaea. Lineage: Eukaryota; Viridiplantae; Streptophyta; Magnoliopsida; Lamiales; Oleaceae. The record is from RNAcentral.
CUUAAAUUUAUUUAUGCAAUAAAAAUGAGUAAUAUUUUUGUAAUCACAAAUCCUUCUCUUACACACUUAAAAGAAUUGAAAAGUACUUGUAUCAAAGAAAACAAGUUAGCCUAUAAAUUCAAAAACUAGAAGAUAAACCUAAAUUUCUUCUCUUCACAACACUACACCGCCCGCCACGAAUUGUGCUUUUGGAGGAAUGAUUUUUCCUUUCAAUUGACCUCCUCCUUUCUAGUAGCAGCUUGCUUUUUCUAACGCUCUCUUCUCACCAUCAAAAUUGUUUGCAUUCAUCUCAACCAGCUAUACUUCAAGUUCUCCAAGUUUCACCUGUACAAAUGCAUAUUUGUUGCAAAACUCUCUCAUCAGUCCAAAAGAAUACACAGCAUAAAGAGCAGAAAACUUACAAGAUUAUAAUAGUAGGGAUACACUCACACGGUUGCAUAUUGACAAAAAUUUGGGUUCAUACAAAUGUUUAAAGGUGGUCCCCACCACCAGUCCACCGCCUGAACUUAAUCAUACAAUUUUUUUUUUUUUUUUUUUUUUUUUGACAUAAUUAACCAACAGAUAAAGUUUGACCAAAGUAAUACAAUUAUAACUUGACUUUUGACUUGACUAAAGGAACUAGGAUAUUACAAAUUCACCCCCAAUUUCGUCCUUGAAAUUUAAUUGGCUAAGGUCCAUUAGGAAUGGUAAACAAGCAAGCGAGCAAGGCUAACUAAGAGUAACUGAACUAAUCCAUUCCAUGAUUUCAUUAAGGCCAAUCUGCUUAUUGAAUUUACAUGCUGAUGAUCUCUGUAAUAACCAAGCUAAUCCUAUUUCUAAUUAUCUUCCUUUCCUUGAUUAGUUCGCUCACUACACCCCAAUAUUGACCCUUGCCUUCUCAUCUUAUGCUAUAUCGAAAUAAUUUCAAUUUUGGCUUGAAGUGUUAAUGCUUUCUCCAGUUACCAUAUGUCUGCCCAUAUAUAUACCGAUAUUAGUGGCCCAUUUUCCUCACCUAAACUCAUAAAUAUUCAACGCUAUCACAUGAACCCAUUUCCUAUCCCUUCCCCCUCUCUUCUUUAAUUAAUUUAAAGGCCUCCUCUCCAUUUCAUCUAUUUACCAUCUUUUUUUAAUUUUGUUUUAUAAAUAUAUAUACAUGUACACAACCAAACUCUUGAAUUGUAAUUUUCCUUCUCCUCUUCAGAUAUCGCUUUGUCAGUGCCCUUUAGAUUAUUUCCAUCCACCUAUUAAUAAUCGAAAUCUCUUAGUAGCCUCCAAAAAACAAUGGAACAUAGCCCAGGGCAAAUGGUCCUGCUCCUCUAUUUUCUAUUCCAUUACUUUCACUAUCUCACAUAUACAUACGCAUAUACUAAUCUAACUUCUAAGCAACAUACAACUCACCACUAUCGUCUUCAACUCCUAAUUAUUUUCCUUUGUCAUCAUUUUUUCCUUGUAUAUUUAAUACUUGCAAGCACGGCACCUUCAUAUAAGUAGAAAAUAUAAAAAUCUGGCUUAAAUCCUAAAUUUAUUACCUUACUGUAAUAGAAAACGAAAUAAGAAGCUUGAGCUCAACAACUUCUCUGUUUCAGUUUCUUUUGCUUUCCUCGAACAAAACAAAACAACCAACAUUAAGAAACUAUCUUUGCUUCCUUAUCAAUAUUUAUAAUCUUGAUUACCUUGUUUCUCGCCAUUAGACUUCAUUCCUUGUUAGCAUAAGAUGAUCCUAUAUCCUAUUUAUAAGUUUCUACAAUCUAUUCUGCAACAAUAAAAACUAAAAAUACCAUCACGUCUAAUCAAGGUCCAUAUUUGUUGAUUAUCCUAGCUUUCAGUAUACACUAACAGAUGAAUAAAUAGCAGAUUUCAUAACUUCAUCUAUUGCUGCAGUGUUAAUUACAACUGUCCAAAUCCAUUAAUCAGAACUCCCUUAAUUCAUUAUACUCAGUGGAAUCACAACCCAAUUCAUCUUUUUUUUUUUUCCCCCACUAUACAUAAAUGCCUGCCUAUAUGAUACUUUAAAAAUUGAAUCUUAGACAAGCAGCAACAACUUCAUGGCCAUGGACACAAGGCAUUUAACAAAGUAAGGAUUAUACUCUCUUGAUCCUAGUUCCUUAAGACAAGCAGCAGCAACUUCUACAUCACUACAUCACCAUUGUUGAAUAUUCCUCUAUGAUGGAUACCACAACUUUCUUGUAUUCGUCUAGUGGAUUUAAAGUAUUAUGUCUUGACUAGUUAUAAUUAGCAUACAAUAAUUCCAUCCAUUUAGUACAGUUUCUGACAGUCCUAUCCGCAGUAGAAGUUUAACGUGUAUACCAACUAUAUUACUUUUAUACUCUCAACAUAAGAUGGCAUAAAACAUAGACAUUAGUUCUCUAAAAUUAGCAAUAUUUCCAUAUCCUUAAAAAUUCCACUCAGACAAUCAACUACACAAUCAAAUUGCAGAAUAAUGUCAACAGACAAUUACCCAGUCCUCAUCCAAACGCAUCGAAAAUGGCAUUUUGCUCUGGCGAAAUCAUAAAUCCAAUUGAAGUUUCAAAUUACACGAAUCGAUAAACUAAAAAAUGAAAAACCUAUAUGUGUAAAAAAUGAAAACCUAUAUGUGAUUCAAUAAUUGACCAAAAAAAUCACUAAAUCGACAGAAUUGAAAAAAUCACUAUGUACCAAUGAAAAAUCACUAAAUCCACAGAAUUGAAAAAAUAAAAUAUAAAAUCGAUGAUAAAAGUCAAUAACUCAUUCAAUUUAAGAGAACAAAUGACGAGGAAACCUUCAGUCCUUUCCUUUCCCUGGGAUUUUUACGAGAAAAAACGGAAAUUUUAAUCAAUUGAAUUAUGAUGUCAUCAUAAUAGCAUCAAAGUAUUAUUCAUCUAGUGGAUUUAAAGUAAAUUAUUCAUCCCUUCUUCACAUAGAUUUAAGACAAAUUUUUUACACAAAAUUGGCUACAAAAUGAAUUUGGGGAAAACGGUGGGUUCAAGGCUGUGGAUCCGGCCCGAGAUGUGUGCCAAACGAUCCACCCUCUCUCCACUAUCAUCUUCCUCCUUGCUUCUCUCUCCAUUUUUCUGAAAUAACAUGGGAAAAAUAACCAAAUAUAGUCAAAAUAAAUUUCAAACCAGUAAAACAAUAGAUCGAGAAACAAUCACACUAUAAACAACAAAAAUUGAUUAAUAAACAUUCUAUCAGCUUUCUUCGUUUUGACCUUCGAUCUACCUCCUUUCAUCGCAAAACCUACAAAGAACCAGCGAAAAUAAUUGAAACUCGGUCACAAAUCGUUGUGAGUCGGAAGAGUUAGCGACGCACAACCACCUCUUCUAGCGGUGCAUACGAGGACGGGGAGAUUUGCAGUAAACGAGUUCUCCUUUUAAGAGGUUAGGAAUUUGGAAAUUUUAAUAAAAAGGAAAUGGAAAUGAGAAGUGGAUCGGAGAGAAAUAUAUAUUUAAGUCAUAUUGUGCAAUGGAAAUGAACCGAGUUAGGUUAAUAUUGUAAUAAAAGAUGAGUGACUUUUUGCAAGGUUAAUAGAACGCUGUUAGAAGUGCCCUUUCGCAAAU